CCUACGGGAGGCAGUAGUGGGGGAUAUUGGACAAUGGGGGGAACCCUGAUCCAGCGACGCCGCGUGAGUGAAGAAGUAUUUCGGUAUGUAAAGCUCUGUCAGCAGGGAAGAAAGAAAUGACGGUACCUGACCAAGAAGCCCCGGCUAACUACGUGCCAGCAGCCGCGGUAAUACGUAGGGGGCAAGCGUUAUCCGGAAUUACUGGGUGUAAAGGGAGCGUAGACGGUUAAGUAAGUCUGGAGUGAAAGGCAGGGGCCCAACCCCGGGACUGCUCUGGAAACUAUUGAACUUGAGUGCAGGGGAGGUAAGCGGAAUUCCUAGUGUAGCGGUGAAAUGCGUAGAUAUUAGGAGGAACACCAGUGGCGAAGGCAGCUUACUGGACUGUAACUGACGUUGAGGCUCGAAAGCGUGGGGAGCAAACAGGAUUAGAUACCCUUGUAGUC
RNAcentral lists this ribosomal RNA (443 nucleotides) under uncultured bacterium. RNAcentral describes it as "partial 16S ribosomal RNA". It matches the Rfam family "Bacterial small subunit ribosomal RNA", at positions 338 to 795 of the family's 1533-position model. The record is from RNAcentral.